AGGAAUAUUGGGCAAUGGAGGCAACUCUGACCCAGCCAUGCCGCGUGAGUGAAGAAGGUUUUCGGGUUGUAAAGCUCUUUCGGAUGUGACGAUGAUGACGGUAGCAUCUAAAGAAGCCCCGGCUAACUUCGUGCCAGCAGCCGCGGUAAUACGAAGGGGGCGAGCGUUGUUCGGAAUUACUGGGCGUAAAGGGUGUGUAGGCGGUUAUGUAAGAUAGCGGUGAAAUCCCGGGGCUUAACCUCGGAAUAGCCGUUAUAACUAUGUAGCUAGAGUUAUGGAGAGGAUAGCGGAAUACCCAGUGUAGAGGUGAAAUUCGUAGAUAUUGGGUAGAACACCGGUGGCGAAGGCGGCUAUCUGGCCAUAUACUGACGCUGAGGCACGAAAGCAUGGGGAUCAAACAGGAUUAGAUACCCUGGUAGUCCACGCUGUAAACGAUGAAUGCUGGUUGUCGGCUUUAGGGUCGGUGACGAAGUUAACGCGAUAAGCAUUCCGCCUGGGGAGUACGGUCGCAAGAUUAAAACUCAAAGGAAUUGACGGGGACCCGCACAAGCGGUGGAGCAUGUGGUUUAAUUCGAUGCAACGCGAAGAACCUUACCAACUCUUGACAUCCUUAUCGGGGGGCGCAGAGAUGAGCCCUUUCAGUUAGGCUGGAUAAGUGACAGAUGCUGCAUGGCUGUCGUCAGCUCGUGUCGUGAGAUGUUGGGUUAAGUCCCGCAACGAGCGCAACCCCUGCUAUCAGUUGCCAGCGAGUAAAGUUGGGCACUCUGAUAGGACUGCCGGUGACAAGCCGGAGGAAGGUGGGGAUGACGUCAAGUCAUCAUGGCUCUUACGAGUUGGGCUACACACGUGCUACAAUGGUAACUACAGAGGGGAGCGAGACCGCGAGGUUGAGCCAAUCUUAAAAAGUUAUCUCAGUUCGGAUUGUUCUCUGCAACUCGAGAACAUGAAGUUGGAAUCGCUAGUAAUCGCGGAUCAGCAUGCCGCGGUGAAUACGUUCCCG
This 1000-nucleotide ribosomal RNA is filed under the name uncultured bacterium. RNAcentral describes it as "bacterial SSU rRNA". It matches the Rfam family "Bacterial small subunit ribosomal RNA", at positions 357 to 1376 of the family's 1533-position model. The record is from RNAcentral.